GUCUACAGCCAUGCUACCCUGAACAAGCCUGAUCCUAUCUGAUCUUGUAAGCUAAGCAGGGCCAGGCCUGGUUAGUACUGAAUGGGAGACCACCUAGGAAGAUCAGGUACUGUAGGUG
RNAcentral lists this ribosomal RNA (118 nucleotides) under Pteropus alecto (black flying fox). The record is from RNAcentral. Lineage: Eukaryota; Metazoa; Chordata; Mammalia; Chiroptera; Pteropodidae.